RNAcentral lists this ribosomal RNA (492 nucleotides) under uncultured bacterium. RNAcentral's name for it is "partial 16S ribosomal RNA". It matches the Rfam family "Bacterial small subunit ribosomal RNA", at positions 28 to 507 of the family's 1533-position model. The record is from RNAcentral.
AUUGAACGCUGGCGGCAUGCUUUACACAUGCAAGUCGAACGGUAACAGGCCUUCUGGUGCUGACGAGUGGCGCACGGGGGUGUAAUGCAUCGGAACGUGCCCAGCGGUGGGGGGUGACGCAGCGAAAGCUGUGCUAAUACCGCCUGUGAUCUGAGGAUGAAAGCGGGGGACCAGGCAGCAAUUUUUGGCCUCGCGCCUUUGGAGCGGCCGAUGUCAGAUUAGUUAGUUGGUGGGGUAAAGGCCUACCAAGCCGACGAUCGGCAGCUGGUCUGAGAGGGCGAACAGCCACACUGGGAGUGAGACACGGCCCAGAGUCCUACGGGAGGCAGAGGUGGGGAAUGUUGGACAAUGGGCGGAAGCCUGAUCCAGCAAUGCCGCGCGCGGGAAGAAGGCCUUCGGGGUGUAAACCGCUUUUGUACGGGACGAAAAGGUUCUGGAUAAUACCUGGGGUUGAUGACGGUACCGUAAGAAGAAGCACCGGCUAACUACGUG